CCUGGUUGAUUCUGCCAUUAGUCAUAUGCUUGUCUCAAAGAUUAAGCCAUGCAUGUCUAAGUAUAAGCAACUUUGUACUGUGAAACUGCGAAUGGCUCAUUAAAUCAGUUAUAGUUUAUUUGAUGGUUUUUGCUACAUGGAUAACUGUGGUAAUUCUAGAGCUAAUACAUGCAUUCAAGCCCCGACUUCUGGAAGGGGUGUAUUUAUUAGAUAAAAAUCAACUUUGUUGGUGAAUCAUAAUAACUUCUCGGACCGCAUGGCCUCGUGCUGGCGGUGCUUCAUUCAAAUAUCUGCCCUAUCAACUGUCGAUGGUAGGAUAGAGGCCUACCAUGGUUGCAACGGGUAACGGGGAAUAAGGGUUCGAUUCCGGAGAGGGAGCCUGAGAAACGGCUACCACAUCCAAGGAAGGCAGCAGGCGCGCAAAUUACCCAAUCCCAACACGGGGAGGUAGUGACAAUAUGUAACAAUAUACGGCCUUAUACGUCGUAUAAUUGGAAUGAGUACAAUUUAAAUCCCUUAACGAGGAACAAUUGGAGGGCAAGUCUGGUGCCAGCAGCCGCGGUAAUUCCAGCUCCAAUAGCGUAUAUUAAAGUUGUUGCAGUUAAAAAGCUCGUAGUUGGACCUUGGACCUGGACAGGCGGUCCGCCUCACGGCGAGUACUGUCUUGCUGGGUCUUUCCUCUUGGUGAUCUGUUGUUUCGGCAGCAGGGAACCAGGACCUUUACUUUGAAAAAAUUAGAGUGUUCAAAGCAGGCUCGACGCCGGAAUAUAUUAGCAUGGAAUAAUAAAUAGGACGUGCGGUUCUAUUUUGUUGGUUUUUGGAAUCGCCGUAAUGAUUAAUAGGGACAGUCGGGGGCAUUAGUACUCACAUGCUAGAGGUGAAAUUCUUUGGAUUUGUGAAGACUAACUUCUGCGAAAGCAUUUGCCAAGGAU
This 932-nucleotide ribosomal RNA is filed under the name uncultured fungus. RNAcentral's name for it is "SSU rRNA". It matches the Rfam family "Eukaryotic small subunit ribosomal RNA", at positions 1 to 965 of the family's 1831-position model. The record is from RNAcentral. Lineage: Eukaryota; Fungi.